This is a long non-coding RNA of Ictalurus punctatus (channel catfish), 1634 nucleotides long. Lineage: Eukaryota; Metazoa; Chordata; Actinopteri; Siluriformes; Ictaluridae. The record is from Ensembl.
UAAUUAGCUCCAAAGGCAGGUAAAACUGCCAUGGUUAGACAAGGAGAGGGAGAGGAACAAGGAGAGGGACAAGGAGAGGGAGAGACAAGGAGACAGACAAGGAGAGGGUGUAUGUGUGUGUUACUUGUUCCAGUUGUGUGUAGAUGUGUGUCUCUGUGUGUGUUACUUGUUCCAGUUGUAAGUGUAUGUGUGUCUCUGUGUAUGUGUGUGUUACUUGUUCCAGCUGUAAGUGUGUAGAUGUGUGUCUCUGUGUAUGUGUGUGUUACUUGUUCCAGCUGUAAGUGUGUAGAUAUGUGUGUCUCUGUGUGUGUGUGUGUUACUUGUUAGAGCUGUAAGUGUGUAGAUGUGUGUCUCUGUGUGUGUGUGUGUUACUUGUUCCAGCUGUAAGUGUGUAGAUGUGUGGUUGUUCAUGUCCCACAGUAAGAUGUCCACAUAAGAGAACCUCUCCUGCGCUGGGCCGCUGUGUCUGCAGACUGAAGCAGCUGUAAAGGAAACUUCACCAAGACCUCCUACAAAAACCAGAAACGUCAUUAGAUAAACUCUUUUUCAUCUUGAUGUUCCUACGAGUUUGGGCGUAUUUAUUCAUCUUAUUAUAUUUGAUCAUUUUGACAUAUUCCUCGUUAUUAGAUCAAGUUUUUAAACCUAGUCUUAGUAUUUCUGCUGCAGAACAUCUGACUUAUUUCUCCAUUUCUAAAAAGAAGCAACAUCAGGUUAAGCUUGAAAACACGCCUGCAAACGUAUUUCAGGGUCAAUAUAAUCAUCGAAUAACGGGAAUAUUCAUCGAACAUUUCCUUCCUACAUUCUCCUUCAUCAAACAGUUUUUAUUUCAACACGAGUUCUUUUAUACCAAGAACCACAAAUGAACAGUUUAUUCUUUUUCUCCAUAAUGAACAUUAUACCUACAAAUCAUUUACUGCACGGGACUAAUGACCCAGUGAUAAAAACAUACACAUCGAAUCAAAUAAAUCUGAUCAUCUCCACGUUCUUCUUCACGGUUCACCGAGAUGGCAGCAGACCAACAUCUUUCACUUGGAGAAUUAACUUAACGAUACAGCUUUACCUCGGACUGUUAAGAAGCGCUGGCACUGGAGACUCCUUCCACACGUGUUAAACAAACCUCUCCUGACGGACGACUUUCAGAAAUAUAGUCUGGAAUUAGAAAGCUACAACGAUGACAAAUCAGCGCAUGACACUAUGGUGGAGUCAGAUCUGAUAUUUAAUGAAAAGGAAGAAAACAGGAGCAGAAGAAAAGCUCGGAGAGAAACGCUGUGCUGCAAACAUGUCCUCCUUCAUCCCCGUAUAUAUAUAUAUAUAUAUAUAUAUAUUACACACAUCUGUUCUGCUUAUGUACACGCCACAACCGUACACACUCCAUUUAUAACAGAUCACACACACACGUAGUGGCAGGAAGUGGAGAAACGCCGAACACACUAAAGACUGAAAACAGAGACAGAAUGAAGGAGACGUCGUGCACACAGGAACAGUUUCUGAAAGCUAAAUAUAAUAAUAUGCGUGACCAGAGAAGGCAGAUGUGCUGCUCAGAGGAAUUCGACACUGUGUCCACGUCUUCUGCAGAGUCAUGUGCCUUUAGCAAAGAACGAGAGCGCACAGGUCUCGGGUACUCGUCUUCUACA